UACGUAGGCAGCGAGCGUUGUUCGGAGUUACUGGGCGUAAAGGGUGUGUAGGCGGUUGUUUAAGUUUGGUGUGAAAUCUCCCGGCUCAACUGGGAGGGUGCGCCGAAUACUGAAUGACUUGGAGUGCGAGAGAGGAGAGUGGAAUUCCUGGUGUAGCGGUGAAAUGCGUAGAUAUCAGGAGGAACACCGGUGGUGUAGACGGCUCUCUGGACCGUAACUGACGCUGAGGAGCGAAAGCUAGGGGAGCAAACAGG
Molecule: ribosomal RNA, 254 nt
Filed under: uncultured bacterium
Lineage: Bacteria
Description: partial 16S ribosomal RNA
Rfam family: Bacterial small subunit ribosomal RNA
Source: RNAcentral